RNAcentral lists this unclassified non-coding RNA (617 nucleotides) under Rhagoletis pomonella (apple maggot). Its description in RNAcentral is "uncharacterized LOC118743341, transcript variant X3". Lineage: Eukaryota; Metazoa; Arthropoda; Insecta; Diptera; Tephritidae. The record is from RNAcentral.
UCCUGAAUCGUCUCUUUUCUCUGCGAGAUUUUUUGCGAGGUGCACGCGAAUAAAUUUUGCCGAACUCGCCGUCUGUCUUGAAUAAUUGUGAUUUGCAAUAUAAUUUGUAUAACGCAUAGCGCCAGUUUCAGUUGCAUCUACGCAUCCAAGCAAUAUAAUUAUAAGCAAAUAAGAAAAUUAUUUGACCUGAUUUUGCCAAUCCGAGCGAAAUAAAGUUAUUCAAGUGAAAUUUUGCAGAAAAUGAGAUCUUCAAUCGUAGCUCAAUAUGCCCUUCGUAUGAGUUUUGGACAGUCUUCAUCCCAGUCUGCCAGCAGUGUCUUCACAACAGCCACACCGGACCGUGUUGUGUCACGCUCUGCUACAAUGAUGGCCGUCUUUGGAAUUGCGAUCUCCUCAUUUAGUCUUAAGCAGAUGUUGGCCAGCAGUGGUGCUAAUAAGUCUUCCGAGGCUGCCCUUACUCUACGCAAACUUUAAAUGAAAAUAUGCAUAAGAUGGCACUUCGUUUAAAAAUUAUUAUCAAUUUGAUGCAAAAGCGAAAGAGAUACGGAGGGGAUUGAUGUAUAGAAGAGAGGCAAACAAUAAUAGUUUCGAGUGAUGUAAAGCGAGAAUGCGUGAAA